UACGAAGGGUGCAAACGUUGCUCGGAAUUAUUGGGCGUAAAGCGCACGUAGGCGGCUUGGCAAGUCGGAUGUGAAAUCCCUCGGCUCAACCAAGGAAGUGCAUCCGAAACUGCUGAGCUUGAGUGCGAGAGAGGUUAAUAGAAUACCUGGUGUAGUGGUGAAAUACGUAGAUAUCAGGCGGAACACCGGAGGCGAAGGCGGUUAACUGGCUCGACACUGACACUGAGACCCGAAAGUGCGGGGAUCAAACAGG
Molecule: ribosomal RNA, 253 nt
Filed under: uncultured bacterium
Lineage: Bacteria
Description: partial 16S ribosomal RNA
Rfam family: Bacterial small subunit ribosomal RNA
Source: RNAcentral